AUGGCAGAGGUGGUGGCCACCAUGGUGGUCGGACCACUGCUCAAAAUCGUGAUGGGGAAGGCGUCCAGCUACCUCCUCGACAAGUACAAGGUGUUGAAGGGCAUGGAGGAGCAACAUGAGAUCCUGAUGCGCAAACUGCCUGCCAUCCUGGACAUCAUCACCGACGCCGAGCAGGAAGCAGGGCACAGAGAAGGGGCAGCUGCCUGGCUCCAGGCCAUCAAGAAGGUGGCUUACCAGGCAAAUGAAGUCUUCGACGAGUUCAAGUACGAGGCGCUUCGUCGUAAGGCCAAAAAGGAGGGGCACUACAACGACCUUGGCUUCAGUGUGGUAAAAGUCUUUCCCACCCACAACCGUUUUGUAUUUCGUAACAGGAUGGGAAGAAAGCUCCGCAAGAUUGUGCAGGCCAUCGAGGUCCUUGUGGCUGAAAUGAACGCCUUUGGCUUUACAUAUCAGAAGCAACUGCCUUUAUCCAAGCAGUGGCGACAGACGGGUCAUGUUAUCUUCGAUCCAAAGAAUAUUAGUAGCAGAUCCAGAGCCAAUGAUAAUAAGAAUAUUGUUGACUUGCUAGUUGGUCAAGCUAACAAUGCAGAUCUCGCGGUUGUUCCCAUCGUUGGAAUGGGGGGUCUGGGCAAAACCACAUUAGCGCAAGUUGUCUACAAUGAACCUGAAAUUCAGAAGCAUUUUGAUUUGCUGCUAUGGGUGUGUGUCUCUGACAGGUUUGAUGUGGACUCUCUGGCUAACAACAUAGUCGAAGCAGCUCCUGAAAAGAAGGAUGAUGGUACAGAAGAUGCUGCUUCCAAGAAGAAGACACCAUUGGAUAGACUUCAGGAUCUGGUGAGUGGGCAAAGGUACCUCCUUGUACUGGAUGACGUCUGGACUAGAGAGGUUCAUAAAUGGGAACAACUUAAGGCCCGACUUCAACAUGGUGGCAUGGGUAGUGCGGUCUUGACAACAACUCGUGAUGGUAGAGUUGCUGAAAUGAUGCGUACUGUUGAAGCUUAUAAUCUCACAGCUUUGACAGAUCAAUACAUUAAAGAAAUCAUCGAGACAAGAGCAUUCAGCUGUUUCAAGAAGGAAGAGGAAAGGCCUUCUGUGUUGGUGAAUAUGGUUGAUGAGAUUGUGGAGAGAUGUGCUGGCUCUCCAUUAGCCGCAACAGCACUAGGCUCUGUACUGUGUACCAAGACCACUAAGGAAGAAUGGGAGGCUGUAUUAAGCAGAAGCAUCAUUUGCACCGAGGAGAAUGGAAUCUUACCAAUACUCAAGCUCAGUUACAACGACUUGCCGUCGCAUAUGAAGCAAUGCUUUGCUUUUUGUGCUAUAUUUCCCAAGGAUCACAAGAUUGAUGUGGACAAGCUGAUCCAAUUAUGGAUUGCACAUGGCUUCAUCCAGGAAAAUCAAACUCUUCUUGAAACCAUCGGCAAACAGAUUUUCAACGAGCUGGCCUCAAGGUCAUUCUUCCAGGAUGUCGAACAAGUCAAAGCCACGGUCAAGGAAAUUGAAGACACCGGGUCAUGUUAUUCCAGAACUACAUGUAAAAUCCAUGACCUUAUGCAUGAUGUUGCACUUUCAGUAAUGGAAAAGGAAUGUGCCUUGGCAAGUGACGAACCAGGCAAGAUUGAAUCUGUUAUCGCAUCUGAGGAAUCAAAUCAGAGUGAGUGGCUUCCAAACACUGCUCGUCAUUUAUUUUUGUCAUGCAAGGAACCAGAAAGAAAAUUGAAUAGUUCUCUAGAGAAAAGCUCUCCAGCUAUCCAAACUCUUAUAUGUGAUGGGCCUAUGGAAAGUUCGUUGCAACAUUCAUCAAAAUACAGCUCUUUGCAAGCAUUGCAGGUGCAACUCUGUUUAUGGAGAGGAGCAUUUCAGCUGAAACCAGAGCAUCUACAUCACCUGAGGUACCUAGAUCUCUCAAGAAGUAGAUAUAUCAAAGCACUUCCUGAAUAUGUGAGCAUUCUAUACAACCUUCAAACGCUGAACCUCUCCGGCUGUAGAUCUCUUUGUAGACUUCCAAGACAAAUGAAGUAUAUGACUUCCCUUCGUCACCUUUACACUCAUGGUUGUCCAGAGCUUAAGUGCAUGCCCACAGACCUCAAGAAACUCACAUCCCUUCAAACACUUACAUGCUUUGUAGCAGGUAGUGAGCCUAAUUGUAGUAAUGUUGGAGAGCUUGGAAAUUUAAACCUUGGUGGUCAACUAAAGCUACGUAAUCUGGCAAACGUGACAGAAGUGGAUGCAAAAGCAGCAAACCUUGUGAACAAGGAGCUAAGAGAAUUGAGAUUAACAUGGACCUUCAGAUGGAAUUAUUUUCAAGGUAAUACUAGCUGGCGGGAUGACGAAAACGAUGCAAAAGUGCUCGAGAAUCUCAAACCUCAUGAUGGACUACAUGCCAUACGGAUACAGUCAUAUGGAGCCACCACCUUCCCAACAUGGAUGACUAUGUUGCAAAACAUUGUUGAGAUCCAUCUUUUCAGCUGUACAAAACUAGUAUGGUUGUUCAGCGGUGAGUGUGAUACAUCGUUUGCAUUUCCAAAUCUGAAGGAGCUUAUGCUAAAAGGUCUUGUUUGUUUGGAGAGAUGGUGGGAAAAAGAUAAUGAUGGGAUGCAAGGUGAGGUGAUGAUGUUUCCUCUACUUGAGAAGCUGCAUAUUAGCGACAGUGUAAAGUUGAAAGCAUUGCCAGGAAAACCGACCUUCCCUAAGCUUCAGAAUGUUCGUGUUGAGAAAUGUCCAGAGUUGACAACUGCAGCUAAAUCACCAAAGCUCGGUGUAUUGAAGAUGGAAGGACGUGAGGUAGAGUUGUUCUUGUGGGUAGCGAGACAUCUAACUUCAUUGACCAAUCUGGAACUGACUAGCACUGAACAUAGUACAGAUACAACCUCGAUGGGGGCUGAGAAUAGUUUGAGGGAAGUGGUGAACAUCAAGGAGAAUGGGAAUGCUCAAAACUUUCCUUUAGAAGUCUUGGUGUUAAGAGACUUUAAGUCAGGUGUACGUGUAACAGAGCUAUGCGCAUGCUUUGUACACCUUCAAGAUUUGUCAAUUAUGAGGUGCCAUGAGCUCGUCCACUGGCCAGAAACAUUGUUCGAAGGUUUGGUAUCCUUGAGGAGGCUUCUGGUUGCAAAUUGUGAUAAUCUGACUGGAUAUGCACAAGUUUCUACUGAGCCAUCAGCAUCAUCAGAGACCAGUCAUCUCCUGCCACGUCUAGAGUAUCUGGAUAUAUACGAUUGUGAAAACUUGGUUGAGCUCUUCAACAUCCCUCCAUCUCUCAAGAAAAUGUACAUUGAUAAAUGCAGUAAGCUUGAGUCCACAUCCGGCAGGAAGCAGAAGCAGGGACAGUCAGUAUCAUCGACUCAUCAAGGGUCAUCCAGUAUAGAAGAAUUAACAUUCUACAGCUGUCAUGGCUUAACAGGGGUCCUCUAUUUUCCCCCAUCCCUCAAGACACUAAGCAUUGUUGGCUGUGGUGGGUUGACAUCUCUGGAAUCCUGCUCUCCUGAGUUCAAAUCCUUGGAGUCCCUCAAGCUUUGGGAUUGCAAGACCCUGGAAUCCCUACCGGAUGUCCCGCAAGCAUACUCAUCUCUCCAAAGUCUUUGCAUUUGUGACUGUCCUUGUAUGAAGACGCUCCCUGUCAGCCUGCAGCAACGGCUGAGCAGCAUCCUGGAGAAAUACUUAGAUGCUCAUUAUUAUGAAAAGCCUAUGUUGCUGAAGCCGAAGACAUGGAAAUAUGUCUGCAAAGGUUGA
RNAcentral lists this ribosomal RNA (3726 nucleotides) under Triticum aestivum (bread wheat). RNAcentral describes it as "partial small subunit ribosomal RNA". The record is from RNAcentral. Lineage: Eukaryota; Viridiplantae; Streptophyta; Magnoliopsida; Poales; Poaceae.